This 460-nucleotide ribosomal RNA is filed under the name uncultured bacterium. RNAcentral's name for it is "partial 16S ribosomal RNA". It matches the Rfam family "Bacterial small subunit ribosomal RNA", at positions 338 to 795 of the family's 1533-position model. The record is from RNAcentral.
CCUACGGGAGGCAGCAGUGAGGAAUAUUGGUCAAUGGGCUUACGCCUGAACCAGCCAAGUCGCGUGAGGGAAGACUGCCCUAUGGGUUGUAAACCUCUUUUGUCAGGGAGCAACGCCGGCUACGUGUAGCCGUACUGAGAGUACCUGAACAAAAAGCAUCGGCUAACUCGGUGCCAGCAGCCGCGGUAAUACGGAGGAUGCGAGCGUUAUCCGGAUUUAUUGGUUUUAAAGGGUGCGUAGGCGGAAUGCAAAGUCAGCGGUAAAAUCGCGGGGCUAACCCUCGCUCCGCCGUUGAUACGGGCGUUCUUGAGUGGGCGAGAAGUAUGCGGAAUUCGUGGUGUAGCGGUGAAAUGCAUAGAUAUCACGCAGAACUCCGAUUGCGAAGGCAGCAUACCGGCGCCCAACUGACGCUGAAGCACGAAAGCGUGGGUAUCGAACAGGAUUAGAUACCCGUGUAGUC